AUUAAAACAUGGGGGCAGUUUCCGCAUACGGUUCUCAUGGUAGUGAGUAAGUCUCACGAGAUCUGAUGGUUUUAUAAAUGGGAGUUCCGCUGCGCAAGCUCUCUUGCCUGCCGCUGUGUAGCAUGUGACUUCGCUGUUCUUUGGCCUUCCACCAUGAUUGUGAGACCUCCUCAGCCAUGUGGAACUAUCUCUUGGGGCUGCCUGUAGGUGGAUAUGUUCAUGGAAGACGGUGAAAAAGACAAGAAUAGGAUUUGCUGUAUAGAAUCACUAUAGUCACCAUCACACUGAGUAUCAACAACAUCUCUUGUUAUCCUCACAACUGUGCAAAACAGAUAUCCGACAGAGAGAAAGAGAAUGUGAUUGACUCUUAACUAGAGUCACGCACCACUCUGGAUCAAUCAUCUGAGGCCUGGGAGAAGUGUCAUAACACAGGCAAACGAAGAGGAUAAAUAAAGAAUGAGUGUCCCCCAGACCAUCUGGAAACCCCACCUGUGCAUCUUAAAUAAGGAAGGACCAAGCAGAUAUCAGAAAGAGGGAUGUUGGGGGAACAAGAAACUAACCAGCCUGCAGGAGUCGCUGGAGGCCAAAGACAAAUAUUUUCGCCGAGGAGAAUUUGGAAAAUUUCGCAGUAUAUAAAAAAAGAAAAUUAAAAGUCUCCAUCAUACCAUCUAUCAGCAA
This 678-nucleotide long non-coding RNA is filed under the name Homo sapiens (human). RNAcentral describes it as "HSALNT0228304". The record is from RNAcentral. Lineage: Eukaryota; Metazoa; Chordata; Mammalia; Primates; Hominidae.